RNAcentral lists this ribosomal RNA (18 nucleotides) under Frankliniella occidentalis (western flower thrips). RNAcentral describes it as "partial 28S ribosomal RNA". The record is from RNAcentral. Lineage: Eukaryota; Metazoa; Arthropoda; Insecta; Thysanoptera; Thripidae.
GACCUCAUUUCAGGUGAG